RNAcentral lists this ribosomal RNA (1165 nucleotides) under Salmonella enterica. Its description in RNAcentral is "partial 23S ribosomal RNA". It matches the Rfam family "Bacterial large subunit ribosomal RNA", at positions 1783 to 2925 of the family's 2925-position model. Lineage: Bacteria; Pseudomonadati; Pseudomonadota; Gammaproteobacteria; Enterobacterales; Enterobacteriaceae. The record is from RNAcentral.
UACCAGCUGGCUGCAACUGUUUAUUAAAAACACAGCACUGUGCAAACACGAAAGUGGACGUAUACGGUGUGACGCCUGCCCGGUGCCGGAAGGUUAAUUGAUGGGGUCAGCGCAAGCGAAGCUCCUGAUCGAAGCCCCGGUAAACGGCGGCCGUAACUAUAACGGUCCUAAGGUAGCGAAAUUCCUUGUCGGGUAAGUUCCGACCUGCACGAAUGGCGUAAUGAUGGCCAGGCUGUCUCCACCCGAGACUCAGUGAAAUUGAACUCGCUGUGAAGAUGCAGUGUACCCGCGGCAAGACGGAAAGACCCCGUGAACCUUUACUAUAGCUUGACACUGAACAUUGAGCCUUGAUGUGUAGGAUAGGUGGGAGGCUUUGAAGCGUGGACGCCAGUCUGCGUGGAGCCGACCUUGAAAUACCACCCUUUAAUGUUUGAUGUUCUAACGUGGACCCGUAAUCCGGGUUGCGGACAGUGUCUGGUGGGUAGUUUGACUGGGGCGGUCUCCUCCUAAAGAGUAACGGAGGAGCACGAAGGUUGGCUAAUCCUGGUCGGACAUCAGGAGGUUAGUGCAAUGGCAUAAGCCAGCUUGACUGCGAGCGUGACGGCGCGAGCAGGUGCGAAAGCAGGUCAUAGUGAUCCGGUGGUUCUGAAUGGAAGGGCCAUCGCUCAACGGAUAAAAGGUACUCCGGGGAUAACAGGCUGAUACCGCCCAAGAGUUCAUAUCGACGGCGGUGUUUGGCACCUCGAUGUCGGCUCAUCACAUCCUGGGGCUGAAGUAGGUCCCAAGGGUAUGGCUGUUCGCCAUUUAAAGUGGUACGCGAGCUGGGUUUAGAACGUCGUGAGACAGUUCGGUCCCUAUCUGCCGUGGGCGCUGGAAGACUGAGGGGGGCUGCUCCUAGUACGAGAGGACCGGAGUGGACGCAUCACUGGUGUUCGGGUUGUCAUGCCAAUGGCACUGCCCGGUAGCUAAAUGCGGAAAAGAUAAGUGCUGAAAGCAUCUAAGCACGAAACUUGCCCCGAGAUGAGUCUUCCCUGAGACUUUGAGUCUCCUGAAGGAACGUUAAAGACGAUGACGUUGAUAGGCCGGGUGUGUAAGCGCAGCGAUGCGUUGAGCUAACCGGUACUAAUGAACCGUGAGGCUUAACCUUACAACGCCGAAGGUGUUU